UCCGGUUUGUCACCGGCGGUAUCCUAUGAGUCCCCAACUUAAUGCUGGCAACUAGGGACAAGGGUUUCGCUCGUUAAGGGACUUAACCCAACAUCUCACGACACGAGCUGACGACAGCCAUGCACCACCUGUGAUGGCGUCCCGAAGGAAAGGUGUGUUUCCACACCGGUCACCAACAUGUCAAGCCCAGGUAAGGUUCUUCGCGUUGCGUCGAAUUAAACCACAUGCUCCGCUGCUUGUGCGGGUCCCCGUCAAUUCCUUUGAGUUUUAGCCUUGCGGCCGUACUCCCCAGGCGGGGCACUUAAUGCGUUAGCGCCGGCACGGGGGGAGUCGACACCCCCCACACCUAGUGCCCAUCGUUUACGGCGUGGACUAC
RNAcentral lists this unclassified non-coding RNA (376 nucleotides) under uncultured Solirubrobacterales bacterium. RNAcentral's name for it is "contains 16S-23S intergenic spacer region". Lineage: Bacteria; Bacillati; Actinomycetota; Thermoleophilia; Solirubrobacterales. The record is from RNAcentral.